UACGUAGGGGGCGAGCGUUGUCCGGAAUUAUUGGGCGUAAAGAGCGUGUAGGCGGUUCGGUAAGUCUGUCGUGAAAUCCUGGGGCUCAACCUCGGGCGUGCGAUGGAUACUGCCGGGCUAGAGGGUGGUGGAGGCGAGUGGAAUUCCCGGUGUAGCGGUGAAAUGCGCAGAUAUCGGGAGGAACACCAGUAGCGAAGGCGGCUCGCUGGGCCACACCUGACGCUGAGACGCGAAAGCCAGGGGAGCGAACAGG
RNAcentral lists this ribosomal RNA (253 nucleotides) under uncultured bacterium. RNAcentral's name for it is "partial 16S ribosomal RNA". It matches the Rfam family "Bacterial small subunit ribosomal RNA", at positions 524 to 776 of the family's 1533-position model. The record is from RNAcentral.